GAGGAGGAGGAGGAAGAAGGACAAGGAUGGAAAAUACAAGAGAACAAAGAUUAAGAGAAAGACUAGAUAAAAGAGAGGAGGAGCAGGAGGAGGAGGAGGAGGAGGAAGAAAAGUCUGAUUGAUUAAGAAAAAACAACAAGGAAAAGGUUAAUCUAUCUCCGUUUCCCCCCCUGGACAGAAUGGUUUAAUUAAGAAAAAACAACAAGGAAAAGGUUAAUCUAUCUCCGUUUCCCCCCCUGGACAGAAUGGUUUAAUUAAGAAAAAACAACAAGGAAAAGGUUAAUCUAUCUCCGUUUCCCCCCCUGAACAGAAUGGUUUAAUUAAGAAAAAACAACAAGGAAAAGGUUAAUCUAUCUCCGUUCCCCCCCUGGACAGAAUGGUUUAAUUAAGAAAAAACAACAAGGAAAAGGUUAAUCUAUCUCCGU
Molecule: long non-coding RNA, 425 nt
Organism: Eriocheir sinensis (Chinese mitten crab)
Lineage: Eukaryota; Metazoa; Arthropoda; Malacostraca; Decapoda; Varunidae
Exons: 3
Source: RefSeq, a predicted model, not a curated record